CGUCUAGGCGGCCUUUUAAGUCUGAUGUUAAAAUGCGGGGCUCAACUCCGUAUUGCGUUGGAAACUGGAAGGCUAGAGUAUCAGAGAGGUGGGCGGAACUACAAGUGUAGAGGUGAAAUUCGUAGAUAUUUGUAGGAAUGCCGAUUGGGAAGCCAGCUCACUGGAUGAAUACUGACGCUGAAGCGCGAAAGCGUGGGGAGCAAACG
This 206-nucleotide ribosomal RNA is filed under the name uncultured bacterium. RNAcentral describes it as "partial 16S ribosomal RNA". It matches the Rfam family "Bacterial small subunit ribosomal RNA", at positions 568 to 774 of the family's 1533-position model. The record is from RNAcentral.